CCUACGGGAGGCAGCAGUGGGGGAUAUUGCACAAUGGGGGGAACCCUGAUGCAGCGACGCCGCGUGGGUGAAGAAGCGUUUCGGCGCGUAAAGCCCUAUCGGCAGGGAAGACAAUGACGGUACCUGACCAAGAAGCCCCGGCUAACUACGUGCCAGCAGCCGCGGUAAUACGUAGGGGGCAAGCGUUCUCCGGAUUUACUGGGUGUAAAGGGGGCGCAGACGGGAAUGCAAGUCAGGAGUGAAAGCCCGGGGCCCAACCCCGGGACUGCGCUUGGAACUGGAUGGCUGGAGUACAGGAGGGGUAGGUGGAAUUCGUGGUGUAGCGGUGAAAUGCGUAGAGAUUAGGAGGAACACCGGUGGCGAAGGCGGCCUGCUGGACUGUGACUGACGUUGAGGCCCGAAGGCGUGGGGAGCAAACAGGAUUAGAUACCCCUGUAGUC
RNAcentral lists this ribosomal RNA (440 nucleotides) under uncultured bacterium. Its description in RNAcentral is "partial 16S ribosomal RNA". It matches the Rfam family "Bacterial small subunit ribosomal RNA", at positions 338 to 795 of the family's 1533-position model. The record is from RNAcentral.